AACGAACGCUGGCGGCAGGCCUAACACAUGCAAGUCGAACGGGAAGCCACCUUCGGGUGGUGGACAGUGGCAGACGGGUGAGUAACGCGUGGGAACGUGCCUUUCGGUUCGGAAUAACCCAGGGAAACUUGGGCUAAUACCGGAUACGCCCUUCGGGGGAAAGAUUCAUUGCCGAAAGAUCGGCCCGCGUCGGAUUAGCUAGUUGGUGGGGUAAUGGCUCACCAAGGCGACGAUCCGUAGCCGGUCUGAGAGGAUGACCAGCCACACUGGGACUGAGACACGGCCCAGACUCCUACGGGAGGCAGCAGUGGGGAAUAUUGCACAAUGGGGGAAACCCUGAUGCAGCGACGCCGAGUGAGGGAAGAAGGUCUUCGGAUUGUAAACCUCUGUCCUUGGUGAAGAAAUUGACGGUAACCAAGGAGGAAGCUACGGCUAACUACGUGCCAGCCGCCGCCGUAA
Molecule: ribosomal RNA, 459 nt
Filed under: uncultured bacterium
Lineage: Bacteria
Description: partial 16S ribosomal RNA
Rfam family: Bacterial small subunit ribosomal RNA
Source: RNAcentral